Non-coding RNA from Chlorocebus sabaeus (green monkey), 2093 nucleotides. Lineage: Eukaryota; Metazoa; Chordata; Mammalia; Primates; Cercopithecidae. The record is from RefSeq and is a predicted model, not a curated record.
UCAUGACUUCAGUGAAUGUAUACCCAGGCUUAUUGCGUUAGGAUCAAGUCAAGGCUGGAAGGCAGGAGAAUUUCUCUAUGACUAAAGGAAGCCAAAAAGCAAUCUUCAUAUUUCAUACCUUUCUAGAAACUGGGUGUGAUCUCACUGUUGGUAAAGCCCAGCCCUUCCCAACCUGCAAGCUCACCUUCCAGGACUGGGCCCAGCCCAUGCUCUCCAUAUAUAAGCUGCUGCCCGGAGCCUGAUUCUUAGUCCUGCUUCUCUUCCCUCUCACCUCCAGCCUCUCACGCUCUCCACAGCCCUCUCAUCUCCUGGAACCAUGGCCAGCACAUCCACCACCAUCAGGAGCCACAGCAGCAGCCGCAGGGGCUUCAGUGCCGGCUCAGCCAGGCUCCCUGGGGUCAGCCGCUCUGGCUUCAGCAGCGUCUCCGUGUCCCGCUCCAGGGGCAGUGGUGGCCUGGGUGGCGCAUGUGGAGGAGCUGGCUUUGGCAGCCGCAGCCUGUAUGGCCUGGGGGGCUCCAAGAGGAUCUCCAUUGGAGGGGGCAGCUGUGCCAUCAGUGGCGGCUAUGGCAGCAGAGCCGGAGGCAGCUAUGGCUUUGGUGGCGCCGGGAGUGGAUUUGGUUUCGGUGGUGGAGCCGGCAUUGGCUUUGGCCUGGGUGGUGGAGCCGGCCUUGCUGGUGGCUUUGGGGGCCCUGGCUUCCCUGUGUGCCCCCCUGGAGGCAUCCAAGAGGUCACCGUCAACCAGAGUCUCCUGACUCCCCUCAACCUGCAAAUCGACCCCGCCAUCCAGCGGGUGCGGGCCGAGGAGCGCGAGCAGAUCAAGACCCUCAACAACAAGUUCGCCUCCUUCAUCGACAAGGUCGGUUCCUGGAGCAGCAGAACUGGGUUCUUGGAAACCAAGUGGACCCUGCUGCAGGAGCAGGGCACCAGGAACCGUGAGGCAGAACCUGGAACCGUUGUUCGAGCAGUACAUCAACAGCCUCGGGAGGCAGCUGGACAGCAUGCGUCGAGGCAGGACGCCUGGACUCGGAGCUCAGAGGCAUGCAGAGCAGGACCUGGUGGAGGACUUCAAGAACAGAUAUGAGGAUGAAAUCAACAAGCGCACAGCAGCAGAAUGAAUUUUGUGACUCUGAAGAAGGAUGUGGAUGCUGCCUACAUGAACAAGGUUGAACUGCAAAAAGCCAAGGCAGACCUCUCACAGACGAGAUCCAACUUCCUGAGGCAGCAGGCAAUGUAUAGGGCUGGGUCUGUCCAGAUGCAGACCCACAUCUCAGACACAUCCGUGGUGCUGUCCAUGGACAAUAGCCGCAACCUGGACCUGGACAGCAUCUCGCUGAGGUCAAGGCCCAAUGCAGGAGAUUGCUCAGAGGCAGGGCAGAGGCCGAGGUCCUGGUACCAGACCAGGAGUGAAGAACUGCAGACUUCGCGAACUGAACAUGGGGACGACCUGCGCAACACCAAGCAGGAGAUUGCUGAGAUCAACCGCAUGAUCCAGAGGCUGAGAUCUGAGAUCGACCACGUCAAGAAGCAGAAAAAAACCAGCCCGGGUUUAGUCUCCUCUGGAAGACUGGAUGAUGAUUUCAACUAUUUCUUUCCUCUUACAGUGUGUAACCUGCAGGCCGCCAUUGCUGAUGCUGAGCAGCGUGGGAGAUGGCACUCAGGAUGCAAGAACAAGCUGGAAGGGCUGGAGGAUGCCCUGCAGAAGGCCAAGCAGGACCUGGCCCGGCUGCUGAAGAGGGUACCAGGAGCUGAUGAAUGUCAAGCUGGCCUGGACGUGGAGAUGCUCCACCUAUUCAUAGCUGCUGGAGGGCGAGGAGUGCAGGCUGAAUGGCGAAGGCGUUGGACAAGUCAACAUCUCUGUGGUACAAUCCACCGUCUCCGAGUGGCUGUGGCGGUGCCAGCGGUGUCGGCAGUGGCUUGAGGCCUGGGUGGAGGAAGCAGCUACUCUAUGGCAGUGGUCUUGGCGGUUGGAGGUGGCUUCAGUUCCAGCAGCGGCAGAGCCAUUGGGGGUGGCCUCAGCUCUGUUGGAGGCAACCAGUUCCACCAUCAAGUACACCACCACCUCCUCCUCCAGCAGGAAAGGCUACAAGCACUGA